AUGAAGACUGAUGAUUUUGUGGUCCGAGAAAUUGGUAAGGUACCCGCUUACCUUACUGCCCAAAAUUAUGCUAGAAAUAUUGUACUUAUGAUAUAUAAAAACUAAAACUAUGUCAAUACCAAUGCUUGUGAAGUAAGGUUGUAAAUGGGUGCCUGUUUGUUUUUUUCCCCUUUCCAGCUUUCUUGUAUUAUUAGGAAUUGACUAAGAGAAAAGAGAGUUAACAAAAUAAAGGUUAUUUUGUUGAGGAUUGACUUAAGAGAAAAGUGGAUCGGUCUGGUGGAUUUCAGUAAUUAUUCAAAGAGAGAGAGAGAGAGAGAUUGUGAAAGAGACAUCGAUUGUGAAAUGCUAGGUUGACCUUUAAUGACUUUAUAUAAUUUGGUGAAGACAAGAUAAGAAAACAAAAGAGAAUAGGUGAUAAAAAGAAGAAAACCUCUGUUUUGUAGGCCACUGAAAUUGUCCAAAUUAGGGGCCUGUGGAGCCAAAGAUCCAUUGAGUUGUAUGGUCCAAAGAAAAAGAAAAUAGGACCAACAUGCAUGGGGCCUCAGUGAGAAAAUGAGAUCAGAAAAAAGGAGAGAAUUCUUAGGGUGUUUAUUAGGGGCCUACGUUUAAACGACUUUUGACAUUCAUGAGUGCUUACUUUUGGUAUUUAGCAUAAAAGAAAUCAAGGAACGCGUUUUUCUUAGGCUCAUGAACACAAGAAAGGAAAAAGAGAGAAAUAAAACAACAAAAGAAACUUGAAAAGAUUGGAUUGGAAAAGAUAUAGUGGCAAAGCAUCUGUAAAAGAUGGAAGCAAAAGGCUGGGUGAUGACUACCACCUUUUCUUUGGCACAAGCACACCAAACAAAAAUCUUUUUUCUUUCUUUCUCAUAAGAAAUGAAAACCCAAUCUUUUUUCUUUCUUUUUCACUUCGGCCAUUCACCUCAAAAAUCCAAGGGGUUGGCUUGGCCAUUAAUCUUAAGUUGAUUUUUAUUUAUAUCCAGUGUGCCAAUUCAACUUCCAUCUGUACUUGAUGAUUCUUAACAUGCGAAUUUGAAUGUUAUAUGCCUGCUUUCCCUUUGAAAUGACUUGGUACUCAACUCAUUAUUUUUUUUCAGAUUUAGCAUAUUAAUGUUCUCUAUUGGACUGAAAUGUUUCAGGUUUCUUUUUCAUAAAAAAGAGUUUAGGCUAGUUAUAUUAUCUCAUCACUCAAUCACUUGACAAAUUUUCUUAAACUUUAAAAGAAAUGUUGAUUUAUAUUGUUAUGUCAUUAACUACUUCAAAUUCAAGUCUGUAUCAUGAUUAUGAAAUGGUUUUGGCAUUGAUAUCAUCCGCUUAAGUUUUCUAUGGUUAUGCAGGUCUCAUAGGUUCACUCGUCUGGAUAAGCAGAAAAAGAACGUGCACACUUGCACAGCACACAAUCAAGUUGAGGCUGUUCUUGCACCAAUUCAGCCACGAUGACUCAUGA
This 1444-nucleotide long non-coding RNA is filed under the name Prunus dulcis (almond). Its description in RNAcentral is "sRNA ncRNA". The record is from RNAcentral. Lineage: Eukaryota; Viridiplantae; Streptophyta; Magnoliopsida; Rosales; Rosaceae.